This 1330-nucleotide ribosomal RNA is filed under the name Chryseobacterium sp. Its description in RNAcentral is "bacterial SSU rRNA". It matches the Rfam family "Bacterial small subunit ribosomal RNA", at positions 64 to 1402 of the family's 1533-position model. The record is from RNAcentral. Lineage: Bacteria; Pseudomonadati; Bacteroidota; Flavobacteriia; Flavobacteriales; Weeksellaceae.
GAGCGGUAGAGAUCUUUCGGGAUCUUGAGAGCGGCGUACGGGUGCGGAACACGUGUGCAACCUGCCUUUAUCUGGGGGAUAGCCUUUCGAAAGGAAGAUUAAUACCCCAUAAUAUACUGAAUGGCAUCAUUCGGUAUUGAAAACUCCGGUGGAUAGAGAUGGGCACGCGCAAGAUUAGAUAGUUGGUGAGGUAACGGCUCACCAAGUCUACGAUCUUUAGGGGGCCUGAGAGGGUGAUCCCCCACACUGGUACUGAGACACGGACCAGACUCCUACGGGAGGCAGCAGUGAGGAAUAUUGGACAAUGGGUGAGAGCCUGAUCCAGCCAUCCCGCGUGAAGGACGACGGCCCUAUGGGUUGUAAACUUCUUUUGUAUAGGGAUAAACCUACCCUCGUGAGGGUAGCUGAAGGUACUAUACGAAUAAGCACCGGCUAACUCCGUGCCAGCAGCCGCGGUAAUACGGAGGGUGCAAGCGUUAUCCGGAUUUAUUGGGUUUAAAGGGUCCGUAGGCGGAUCUGUAAGUCAGUGGUGAAAUCUCACAGCUUAACUGUGAAACUGCCAUUGAUACUGCAGGUCUUGAGUGUUGUUGAAGUAGCUGGAAUAAGUAGUGUAGCGGUGAAAUGCAUAGAUAUUACUUAGAACACCAAUUGCGAAGGCAGGUUACUAAGCAACAACUGACGCUGAUGGACGAAAGCGUGGGGAGCGAACAGGAUUAGAUACCCUGGUAGUCCACGCCGUAAACGAUGCUAACUCGUUUUUGGAAUGUAAGUUUCAGAGACUAAGCGAAAGUGAUAAGUUAGCCACCUGGGGAGUACGAACGCAAGUUUGAAACUCAAAGGAAUUGACGGGGGCCCGCACAAGCGGUGGAUUAUGUGGUUUAAUUCGAUGAUACGCGAGGAACCUUACCAAGGCUUAAAUGGGAAAUGACAGGUUUAGAAAUAGACUUUUCUUCGGACAUUUUUCAAGGUGCUGCAUGGUUGUCGUCAGCUCGUGCCGUGAGGUGUUAGGUUAAGUCCUGCAACGAGCGCAACCCCUGUCACUAGUUGCCAUCAUUAAGUUGGGGACUCUAGUGAGACUGCCUACGCAAGUAGAGAGGAAGGUGGGGAUGACGUCAAAUCAUCACGGCCCUUACGCCUUGGGCCACACACGUAAUACAAUGGCCGGUACAGAGGGCAGCUACACUGCGAAGUGAUGCAAAUCUCGAAAGCCGGUCUCAGUUCGGAUUGGAGUCUGCAACUCGACUCUAUGAAGCUGGAAUCGCUAGUAAUCGCGCAUCAGCCAUGGCGCGGUGAAUACGUUCCCGGGCCUUGUACACACCGCCCGUCAAGC